This 253-nucleotide ribosomal RNA is filed under the name uncultured bacterium. RNAcentral describes it as "partial 16S ribosomal RNA". It matches the Rfam family "Bacterial small subunit ribosomal RNA", at positions 524 to 776 of the family's 1533-position model. The record is from RNAcentral.
UACGUAGGGGGCAAGCGUUGUCCGGAUUUAUUGGGCGUAAAGAGCGUGUAGGCGGCCAGGUAGGUCCGCUGUGAAAACUCGAGGCUCAACCUCGAGAUGUCGGCGGAAACCAUCUGGCUAGAGUCCGGAAGAGGAGAGUGGAAUUCCUGGUGUAGCGGUGAAAUGCGCAGAUAUCAGGAAGAACACCCGUGGCGAAGGCGGUUCUCUGGGCCUGUACUGACGCUGAGGAGCGAAAGCGUGGGGAGCGAACAGG